RNAcentral lists this microRNA (21 nucleotides) under Capra hircus (goat). Its description in RNAcentral is "chi-miR-487b-5p". Its record names the gene chi-miR-487b-5p. The record is from miRBase by way of RNAcentral. Lineage: Eukaryota; Metazoa; Chordata; Mammalia; Artiodactyla; Bovidae.
CUAACCUUUGGUACUUGGAGA